CUGGUGUCUGCUGCUUUGACUGCAAGUCUGAUUGUCAUAGCCUUUCUCAUUUAUUUCAUCAAGACAAAAACUUGUGAUUUCUGCAACGAUGCUGCAGCAGCCAGUGGUCAUCAGGAAAGACCACAGACAACUGAGGACUCGUUGGUUUAUUCUGCACCGACCUUCAACAAGAACAAAGCUGAGAGAAGAAAUGCAAAAACAGCAGAAGAAGAGACGAUCUACACCGAUGUCAACACUUCUGCAAGAAAUCAACAACUCGCUGAAUUUGCAAAUUUGUGGUAAUAUUCCUUUUAUUCUCGGACAGAGUGUGAGAAAGCUUCGGCUGCACUGGGGCUUCUGUUUCAGUUCUGAAAACAUAAUAGAAUAUUUAAUAUCGGAUGAUCUUUAUGCUAUUUCAUUUUAACAUUUCUGAGUCCAGACCUCAGUCCAACUGAGAUUUUUUGACAGAACUUGAAAAGAGCGAUUCACUCGAUUCCAGUGUAACCUGACAAAGUUUGAGCAGUUUUUGCAAAGAAGAAAGCAACAAAAUUACAGUGUCCAGAUGUGUGCGACUGAUUGAGAGCUACCCAGACAUGCUUUGUGCUAGAAUUGUUGUCAAAGGUGCAUCUGCUAAAUACUGG
Molecule: long non-coding RNA, 620 nt
Organism: Acanthochromis polyacanthus (spiny chromis)
Lineage: Eukaryota; Metazoa; Chordata; Actinopteri; Pomacentridae
Exons: 3
Source: RefSeq, a predicted model, not a curated record